This 546-nucleotide ribosomal RNA is filed under the name uncultured fungus. RNAcentral describes it as "eukaryotic LSU rRNA". The stretch from base 191 to 344 matches the Rfam family "5.8S ribosomal RNA". Lineage: Eukaryota; Fungi. The record is from RNAcentral.
CGUAACAAGGUCUCCGUUGGUGAACCAGCGGANGNAUCAUUACCGAGUUUACAACUCCCAAACCCCUGUGAACAUACCAAUUGUUGCCUCGGCGGAUCAGCCCGCUCCCGGUAAAACGGGACGGCCCGCCAGAGGACCCCUAAACUCUGUUUCUAUAUGUAACUUCUGAGUAAAACCAUAAAUAAAUCAAAACUUUCAACAACGGAUCUCUUGGUUCUGGCAUCGAUGAAGAACGCAGCAAAAUGCGAUAAGUAAUGUGAAUUGCAGAAUUCAGUGAAUCAUCGAAUCUUUGAACGCACAUUGCGCCCGCCAGUAUUCUGGCGGGCAUGCCUGCUCGAGCGUCAUUUCAACCCUCAAGCCCAGCUUGGUGUUGGGACUCGCGAGUCAAAUCGCGUUCCCCAAAUUGAUUGGCGGUCACGUCGAGCUUCCAUAGCGUAGUAGUAAAACCCUCGUUACUGGUAAUCGUCGCGGCCACGCCGUUAAACCCCAACUUCUGAAUGUUGACCUCGGAUCAGGUAGGAAUACCCGCUGAACUUAAGCAUAUCA